GUGCUCACUUCAGCAUCACAUAUACUAAAAUUGGAAUGAUACAGAAAGGAUUAGCAUGGCUCUGGAACAAGGAAGUCAUGAAAGUUUGUGAAGGAGUUCCAUUUUAA
Callithrix jacchus (white-tufted-ear marmoset) is the source of this 107-nucleotide small nuclear RNA. The record is from Ensembl. NCBI's taxonomy places the organism in Eukaryota, Metazoa, Chordata, Mammalia, Primates, Cebidae.